This 467-nucleotide ribosomal RNA is filed under the name uncultured bacterium. RNAcentral describes it as "partial 16S ribosomal RNA". It matches the Rfam family "Bacterial small subunit ribosomal RNA", at positions 28 to 507 of the family's 1533-position model. The record is from RNAcentral.
GACGAACGCUGGCGGCGUGCUUAACACAUGCAAGUCGAACGGAAAGGCUCCAGCUUGCUGGAGUGCUCGAGUGGCGAACGGGUGAGUAACACGUGGGCAAUCUGCCCUGCACUCUGGGAUAAGCCUGGGAAACUGUGUCUCAUACCGGAUUGGACCCUUCUCCCUCCGGGGUUUUGUGGAAAGUUUUUCGGUGCAGGAUGAGCCCGCGGCCUAUCAGCUUGUUGGUGGGGUAAUGGCCUACCAAGGCGACGACGGGUAGCCGGCCUGAGAGGGUGAUCGGCCACAUUGGUACUGAGAUACGGCCCAGACUCCUACGGGAGGCAGCAGUGGGGAAUAUUGCACAAUGGGCGAAAGCCUGAUGCAGCGACGCCGCGUGAGGGAUGACGGCCUUCGGGUUGUAAACCUCUUUCAGUAGGGACGAAGCGCAAGUGACGGUACCUGCAGAAGAAGCACCGGCUAACUACGUG